This 2894-nucleotide ribosomal RNA is filed under the name Stenotrophomonas maltophilia. Its description in RNAcentral is "23S ribosomal RNA". It matches the Rfam family "Bacterial large subunit ribosomal RNA". Lineage: Bacteria; Pseudomonadati; Pseudomonadota; Gammaproteobacteria; Lysobacterales; Lysobacteraceae. The record is from RNAcentral.
GUUAUAUGGUCAAGCGAAUAAGCGCACACGGUGGAUGCCUUGGCGGUCAGAGGCGAUGAAGGACGUGGCAGCCUGCGAAAAGUAUCGGGGAGCUGGCAACAAGCUUUGAUCCGGUAAUGUCCGAAUGGGGAAACCCACCCGCUUGCGGGUAUCCUGCAGUGAAUACAUAGCUGCUGGAAGCGAACCUGGUGAACUGAAAUAUCUAAGUAACCAGAGGAAAAGAAAUCAACCGAGAUUCCGUAAGUAGCGACGAGCGAACGCGGACUAGCCCUUAAGCUGGAUUGGUUCUAGGAAAACGCUCUGGAAAGAGCGGCCAUAGAAGGUGAUAGCCCUGUAUCUGAAAGGGCCAUUCCAGUGAAGACGAGUAGGGCGGGGCACGUGAAACCCUGUCUGAACAUGGGGGGACCAUCCUCCAAGGCUAAAUACUACUGACCGACCGAUAGUGAACCAGUACCGUGAGGGAAAGGCGAAAAGAACCCCGGAGAGGGGAGUGAAAUAGAACCUGAAACCGUGUGCGUACAAGCAGUAGGAGCUCCGCAAGGAGUGACUGCGUACCUUUUGUAUAAUGGGUCAGCGACUUACUGUUCGUGGCAAGCUUAACCGUAUAGGGGAGGCGAAGGGAAACCGAGUCUGAUAAGGGCGCAUAGUCGCGGGCAGUAGACCCGAAACCGGGUGAUCUAGUCAUGCCCAGGGUGAAGGUGCGGUAACACGCACUGGAGGCCCGAACCCACUCCCGUUGCAAAGGUAGGGGAUGAGGUGUGAUUAGGAGUGAAAAGCUAAUCGAACCCGGAGAUAGCUGGUUCUCCUCGAAAGCUAUUUAGGUAGCGCCUCAUAUGUAUCCUCUCGGGGGUAGAGCACUGUUAUGGCUAGGGGGUCAUCGCGACUUACCAAACCAUUGCAAACUCCGAAUACCGAGACGGACUGUAUGGGAGACACACGGCGGGUGCUAACGUCCGUCGUGAAAAGGGAAACAACCCAGACCCACAGCUAAGGUCCCAAAUUCACUGCUAAGUGGAAAACCAUGUGGAAAGGCACAGACAGCCAGGAGGUUGGCUUAGAAGCAGCCACCCUUUAAAGAAAGCGUAAUAGCUCACUGGUCGAGUCGGUCUGCGGGGAAGAUUUAACGGGGCUAAGCAGUGAACCGAAGCUUGGGGUGCAUAACUUUGUUAUGCGCGGUAGAGGAGCGUUCCGUAAGCCGUUGAAGGUGGAUUGAGAAGUCUGCUGGAGGUAUCGGAAGUGCGAAUGCUGACAUGAGUAACGAUAAUGCGGGUGAAAAACCCGCACGCCGAAAGCCCAAGGUUUCCUUGCGCAACGUUAAUCGGCGCAGGGUGAGUCGGCCCCUAAGGCGAGGACGAAAGUCGUAGUCGAUGGGAAGCAGGUUAAUAUUCCUGCACCUCGCGUAAGUGCGAUGGAGGGACGGAGAAGGUUAGGUGUACCAGGCGUUGGUUGUCCUGGGGAAAGGCGGUAGGUUUGGAUCUUUGGCAAAUCCGGGAUCCUUUAAGACCGAGCACCGAGACGAGCCUUUAUGGCGAAGUCACUGAUACCACGCUUCCAGGAAAAGCUCCUAAGCUUCAGCUUACGCAGACCGUACCGUAAACCGACACAGGUGGGUAGGAUGAGAAUUCUCAGGCGCUUGAGAGAACUCGGGUGAAGGAACUAGGCAACAUGGCACCGUAACUUCGGGAGAAGGUGCACCCUUUUUGGUGGCUCGUGCGAGCUAUAGCUGAAGAGGGUCGCAGUAACCAGGCCGCUGCGACUGUUUAUCAAAAACACAGCACUCUGCAAACACGAAAGUGGACGUAUAGGGUGUGACGCCUGCCCGGUGCUGGAAGGUUAAUUGAUGGGGUCAGCCGCAAGGCGAAGCUCUUGAUCGAAGCCCCAGUAAACGGCGGCCGUAACUAUAACGGUCCUAAGGUAGCGAAAUUCCUUGUCGGGUAAGUUCCGACCUGCACGAAUGGCGUAACGACAGCGGCGCUGUCUCCACCCGAGACUCAGUGAAAUUGAAAUCGCUGUGAAGAUGCAGCGUUCCCGUGGCAAGACGGAAAGACCCCGUGAACCUUUACUAUAGCUUUACACUGAACGUUGAGUUCGUCUGUGUAGGAUAGGUGGGAGGCUAUGAAACUGUGGCGCUAGCUGCAGUGGAGCCAUCCUUGAAAUACCACCCUGUCGUGCUUGACGUUCUAACCUGGGCCCAUUAUCUGGGUCGGGGACCGUGUAUGGUGGGUAGUUUGACUGGGGCGGUCUCCUCCUAAAGAGUAACGGAGGAGCUCGAAGGUACGCUCAGCGCGGUCGGACAUCGCGCACUGUGUGCAAAGGCAUAAGCGUGCUUGACUGCAAGAUCGACGGAUCAAGCAGGUAGGAAACUAGGACUUAGUGAUCCGGUGGUUCUGUAUGGAAGGGCCAUCGCUCAACGGAUAAAAGGUACUCCGGGGAUAACAGGCUGAUACCGCCCAAGAGUUCAUAUCGACGGCGGUGUUUGGCACCUCGAUGUCGGCUCAUCACAUCCUGGGGCUGUAGUCGGUCCCAAGGGUAUGGCUGUUCGCCAUUUAAAGUGGUACGCGAGCUGGGUUCAGAACGUCGUGAGACAGUUCGGUCCCUAUCUGCCAUGGGCGUUGGAGAUUUGAGAGGGGCUGCUCCUAGUACGAGAGGACCGGAGUGGACGAACCUCUGGUGUUCCGGUUGUCACGCCAGUGGCAUUGCCGGGUAGCUAUGUUCGGAAGCGAUAACCGCUGAAAGCAUCUAAGCGGGAAGCGCGCCUCAAGAUGAGAUCUCCCGGGGCACAAGCCCCCUGAAGGAACCAUGUAGACUACGUGGUUGAUAGGUCAGGUGUGUAAGUACAGCAAUGUAUUGAGCUAACUGAUACUAAUGAUCCGUGCGGCUUGACCAUAUAACCU